GGGCUUGUGGUCUAGUGGUAUGACAUCUUCUUAGCAUCAGCGGACUUCGGCCAGCUUGCGAGUGGAGAAGGUCCGGCGUUCAAUUCGCCGCUAGUCCA
Molecule: non-coding RNA, 98 nt
Organism: Delphinella strobiligena
Lineage: Eukaryota; Fungi; Ascomycota; Dothideomycetes; Dothideales; Dothioraceae
Source: the annotation of a GenBank genome assembly